RNAcentral lists this antisense RNA (194 nucleotides) under Citrobacter sedlakii. RNAcentral describes it as "Yersinia sRNA 276". It matches the Rfam family "Yersinia sRNA 276". Lineage: Bacteria; Pseudomonadati; Pseudomonadota; Gammaproteobacteria; Enterobacterales; Enterobacteriaceae. The record is from RNAcentral.
ACCGACAUCAGCGAUUCGUUCUGGGAGCCGUGUCCGACCGCGAGAUAGGCGCACAUCCCCAGUUCGCGCAUCUGCUGUUCGCCAAUGACACGGGUUACAACGUUUUUGCUGUAACUGUCAGCCAGCUGGCGCGCUUGUGACGCCAGGUAGGCGGCGUUACAGAUAUUUGGCGGCAUAUUGCCGAGGUCUUUCGC